Molecule: ribosomal RNA, 406 nt
Filed under: uncultured bacterium
Lineage: Bacteria
Description: bacterial SSU rRNA
Rfam family: Bacterial small subunit ribosomal RNA
Source: RNAcentral
UGGGGAAUAUUGGGCAAUGGGGGAAACCCUGACCCAGCAACGCCGCGUGAGGGAAGAAGGUUUUCGGAUUGUAAACCUCUGUCAUGCGGGAAGAAGGAAGUGACGGUACCGCAUGAGGAAGCCCCGGCUAACUACGUGCCAGCAGCCGCGGUAAUACGUAGGGGGCGAGCGUUGUCCGGAAUUACUGGGCGUAAAGGGUGCGCAGGCGGCUAUACAAGUCAGAUGUGAAAAGCUACGGCUUAACCGUGGACGUGCAUAUGAAACUGUAUAGCUUGAGUGCGGGAGAGGCAAGCGGAAUUCCUAGUGUAGCGGUGAAAUGCAUAGAUAUUAGGAGGAACACCAGUGGCGAAGGCGGCUUGCUGGACCGUAACUGACGCUGAGGCACGAAAGCGUGGGGAGCAAACAG